GCGGAAAUAGCUCAGUUGGUAGAGCAUAACCUUGCCAAGGUUAGGGUCGCGAGUUCGAGUCUCGUUUUCCGCUCUA
This 76-nucleotide transfer RNA is filed under the name Bacteroides fragilis. RNAcentral describes it as "tRNA-Gly". It matches the Rfam family "tRNA". From Rfam's summary of the family: Transfer RNA (tRNA) molecules are approximately 80 nucleotides in length. Their secondary structure includes four short double-helical elements and three loops (D, anti-codon, and T loops). Lineage: Bacteria; Pseudomonadati; Bacteroidota; Bacteroidia; Bacteroidales; Bacteroidaceae. RNAcentral also lists the same sequence under 14 other names. The record is from RNAcentral.